RNAcentral lists this ribosomal RNA (501 nucleotides) under uncultured bacterium. RNAcentral describes it as "partial 16S ribosomal RNA". It matches the Rfam family "Bacterial small subunit ribosomal RNA", at positions 30 to 523 of the family's 1533-position model. The record is from RNAcentral.
AUUGAACGCUGGCGGCAUGCCUUACACAUGCAAGUCGAACGGCAGCACGGGUGCUUGCACCUGGUGGCGAGUGGCGAACGGGUGAGUAAUAUAUCGGAACGUACCUUAUUGUGGGGGAUAACGCAGCGAAAGCUGUGCUAAUACCGCAUAAUCCCUUAGGGGGAAAGCGGGGGACCGUAAGGCCUCGCGCAAUUAGAGCGGCCGAUACCUGAUUAGCUAGUUGGUGAGGUAAAGGCUCACCAAGGCGACGAUCAGUAGCUGGUCUGAGAGGACGAUCAGCCACACUGGGACUGAGACACGGCCCAGACUCCUACGGGAGGCAGCAGCGGGGAAUUUUGGACAAUGGGGGCAACCCUGAUCCAGCAAUGCCGCGUGAGUGAAGAAGGCCUUCGGGUUGUAAAGCUCUUUUGUCAGGGAAGAAACAGCAGCUCUAACACAGUAUGCGAAUGACGGUACCUGAAGAAUAAGCACCGGUUAACUACGUGCCAGCAGCCGCCGUAA